Molecule: ribosomal RNA, 1734 nt
Filed under: Triticum aestivum (bread wheat)
Lineage: Eukaryota; Viridiplantae; Streptophyta; Magnoliopsida; Poales; Poaceae
Description: partial small subunit ribosomal RNA
Source: RNAcentral
AUGACGUGCCAGGAUGGCGCCUUCACGGCGGAGUGCGCCCAUGUCUUCCACCCUCGCUGCGCCUCCGGCGUCCCCGCGUGCCCCUCCUGCUACGCGACGUGGCGCGCCACGCCCACCUUCACGCCGCACCCGCUCGUCUACUCUCCCCUGCAGCCGCAGCCCGGCCGGAUGCCGCUGCCCUUCCACGGCGCCCCGUCGCGGUCCACGUGCGCCGUCUGCAAGGGCGCCUUCGCCGGCGCCACCUUCACCUCUGAGUGCGAGCACACGUUCCACCUCUCGUGCGUCAUGGGGAGCGUCUGCCCGGUCUGCAACACGCGCUGGCCUUACCAGGUCUCUUCGUACCCCACUUUCCACCACUACGCUCCGCCACCGGGGCCGGCGCUGUUCCCUCCCUUCAUGGACCAGCCAUCGCACAUGUAUCUCCCUUACCGCGCCGUGUACGACGACGACGAGCCGGUGGAGCCUCCGGUGCAGGGGGCGCCGCUGGGCGACUGGGAUCUCGUCCAGGACGCGGCCAACGGCGGAGGCAAGCUCGUCCUCGACGCCCACUGUGAGUACCCGACCGUCGCCAGGGGCAAGCCGCACGAUAACUUCGUGGUGCUGGUCCACGCCAAGGCCCCUGGCGCCGUCACCGCAGCGGCGGCGCAGACACGCGCGCCGCUCGACCUGGUAACCGUGCUCGACGUCAGCGGCAGCAUGGCGGGCCAAAAGAUCGCGCUGCUGAAGAAGGCUAUGGAGUUCGUCGUCGACCAGCUCGGCCCUGCGGACCGCCUCAGCGUCGUGGCGUUCUCGACGGCCGCGCAUCGGGUCAUCCCGCUGACGCGCAUGUCGGACGUCGGGAAGGUCAAGGCCAAGGACGCCGUGCAGUUACUCGAGGCUGAAGGUGGAACGAACAUCCUCAAGGGUCUCACCGAGGCUGCCAAAGUGCUCGACGGCCGCCGGCACAAGAACGCCGUGGUCAGCAUCAUCCUUCUCUCGGACGGCCAGGACACGUACAAUCUCGAUCUUGGAGGUUACGGUUACGGCUCAUACCAGACAAAUAACUACCGUGGUCUCGUGCCAAGCUCCUUGCUAAGCGGUGCCGGCCACAGAUCGACGCCGAUACACACGUUCGGCUUCGGCGUCGACCACGACUCGUCAGCCAUGCACACGAUCGCCGAGGAGACCGGCGGCACGUUCUCCUUCAUCGAGGACGAGAAGGUGGUGCAGGACUCGUUCGCGCAGUGCAUCGGCGGGCUUCUAUCCGUGGUCGUGCAGGAGGCGCUGAUCACCGUCAAGUGCGUGCACCCAGUGCGCGUCCGUGCAGUCAAGUCCGGCCGCUACAACACCAGCAUCGACGCGUACGGGCGCUCCGCCUCGGUGGACGUCGGCGAGCUCUACGCGGACGAGGAAAGGCGCUUCCUGCUCCUGGUGGACGUGCCGAGGGCCGGCGCCGCGGACGACGUGACGCGGCUCGUGAAGGUGACCUGCACCUACCGCGACACGGCGACCGGGCAGGUCCUGGACGUGGCCGGCGAGGACGUGGCGGUGCAGAGGCCGGUGGAGCUGGCCAAGGACCAGCAGCCGUCCAUGGACGUGGCUCGGGAAAAUUCCACGUGGAGGCGACGGAGGACAUCGCGGCGGCGCGCGCGGCCGCGGAGCGCGGCGAGUACGCGGAGGCCGCGAGGAUACUGGAGCGCAGGCGGGAGGCGCUUGUGCCCGCGCUGGCCGACGACGCGAGGUGCAAGGCGCUAG